GUUACCUACGGGAGGCAGCAGUGAGGAAUAUUGGUCAAUGGGCGGGAGCCUGAACCAGCCAAGUCGCGUGAGGGAAGAAGGUACUGAGUAUUGUAAACCUCUUUUGCCGGGGAGCAAGGGCGGGGACGUGUCCCGGCCCGGAGAGUACCCGGAGAAAAAGCAUCGGCUAACUCUGUGCCAGCAGCCGCGGUAAUACGGAGGAUGCGAGCGUUAUCCGGAUUUAUUGGGUUUAA
Molecule: ribosomal RNA, 233 nt
Filed under: uncultured bacterium
Lineage: Bacteria
Description: partial 16S ribosomal RNA
Rfam family: Bacterial small subunit ribosomal RNA
Source: RNAcentral